This 536-nucleotide ribosomal RNA is filed under the name Aureobasidium pullulans. Its description in RNAcentral is "partial large subunit ribosomal RNA". It matches the Rfam family "Eukaryotic large subunit ribosomal RNA", at positions 104 to 655 of the family's 3401-position model. Lineage: Eukaryota; Fungi; Ascomycota; Dothideomycetes; Dothideales; Saccotheciaceae. The record is from RNAcentral.
ACAGCUCAAAUUUGAAAGCUAGCCUUCGGGUUCGCAUUGUAAUUUGUAGAGGAUGAUUUGGGGAAGCCGCCUGUCUAAGUUCCUUGGAACAGGACGUCAUAGAGGGUGAGAAUCCCGUAUGUGACAGGAAAUGGCACCCUAUGUAAAUCUCCUUCGACGAGUCGAGUUGUUUGGGAAUGCAGCUCUAAAUGGGAGGUAAAUUUCUUCUAAAGCUAAAUAUUGGCGAGAGACCGAUAGCGCACAAGUAGAGUGAUCGAAAGAUGAAAAGCACUUUGGAAAGAGAGUUAAAAAGCACGUGAAAUUGUUGAAAGGGAAGCGCUUGCAAUCAGACUUGUUUAAACUGUUCGGCCGGUCUUCUGACCGGUUUACUCAGUUUGGACAGGCCAGCAUCAGUUUCGGCGGCCGGAUAAAGGCUCUGGGAAUGUGGCCUCCACUUCGGUGGAGGUGUUAUAGCCCAGGGUGUAAUACGGCCAGCCGGGACUGAGGUCCGCGCUUCGGCUAGGAUGCUGGCGUAAUGGUUGUAAGCGACCCGUCUU